ACGCUCGACACCUACGGAGGCAGCAGUGGGGAAUAUUGGGCAAUGGGCGCAAGCCUGACCCAGCAACGCCGCGUGAAGGAAGAAGGCUUUCGGGUUGUAAACUUCUUUUGUCAGGGAACAGUAGAAGAGGGUACCUGACGAAUAAGCUCCGGCUAACUACGUGCCAGCAGCUGCGGUAAUCUGAGCGGGCUGGCAAGGC
This 199-nucleotide ribosomal RNA is filed under the name uncultured bacterium. RNAcentral's name for it is "partial 16S ribosomal RNA". It matches the Rfam family "Bacterial small subunit ribosomal RNA", at positions 328 to 539 of the family's 1533-position model. The record is from RNAcentral.